GCCACCGCCCUCCCCCACACCCCCCACCAUGCAAAUCCCCCUGGGAAAGAAGAAAGUUGGACAGGAACAAGAUAGGUUAGACACUUACACCCUGGAGAGAGGUCCUUGAGCAACAGAAGUUAUUUGAGAUAUUUUAGAGAGUUUGUAGCCCAAAGAUCUGUCGGAGUUGGUGAUGAAUUAUCUCAGCAAAAAGUGAUAUUGGACCCUCAGUUUCCACACUGUGAUGGGAGCAAAGAC
RNAcentral lists this long non-coding RNA (237 nucleotides) under Homo sapiens (human). Its description in RNAcentral is "HSALNT0307625". The record is from RNAcentral. Lineage: Eukaryota; Metazoa; Chordata; Mammalia; Primates; Hominidae.